GACGAACGCUGGCGGCGUGCCUAAUACAUGCAAGUCGAACGCUUCUUUCCUCCCGAGUGCUUGCACUCAAUUGGAAAGAGGAGUGGCGGACGGGUGAGUAACACGUGGGUAACCUACCCAUCAGAGGGGGAUAACACUUGGAAACAGGUGCUAAUACCGCAUAACAGUUUAUGCCGCAUGGCAUAAGAGUGAAAGGCGCUUUCGGGUGUCGCUGAUGGAUGGACCCGCGGUGCAUUAGCUAGUUGGUGAGGUAACGGCUCACCAAGGCCACGAUGCAUAGCCGACCUGGGGGGGGGAUCGGCCACACGGGGACUGAGACACGGCCCAGACUCCUACGGGGGGCAGCAGUAGGAAAUCUUCGGCAAUGGACGAAAGUCUGACCGAGCAACGCCGCGUGAGUGAAGAAGGUUUUCGGAUCGUAAAACUCUGUUGUUAGAGAAGAACAAGGACGUUAGUAACUGAACGUCCCCUGACGGUAUCUAACCAGAAAGCCACGGCUAACUACGU
Molecule: ribosomal RNA, 507 nt
Filed under: uncultured bacterium
Lineage: Bacteria
Description: partial 16S ribosomal RNA
Rfam family: Bacterial small subunit ribosomal RNA
Source: RNAcentral